CAGCAAUCUCCCACUGAUUUUGCAUUCCAGCAAAUACACCAAGGCAAUCCCAGGGCUCUAGAGUGCAAAGGCCCAAGUAUCUUUUCAUAUUCCUCAUCUUCAAAGCUGUGCAGCCGGACACCUGAGCACCAUGCCUGAAAUCUUUAUUUGCUAAUAAUACUUGAAAGGAGAAUUUCUUAUUAAUUCUAGAAUCCUCAUGGCUUUAUGAGCUGAACACAGGGAUCAAAUUAUCCUGCAACAAAUGAAAACACUCCUGCUAACAACGCAUUGUAUAAAGCUUGGAUAUCGUCAGGAAAAGGGCAACACAGUCUUACCCAGACUGACAUGAGGCAAACACAGAUAGCAUAAA
Long non-coding RNA from Corvus hawaiiensis (hawaiian crow), 349 nucleotides. RefSeq lists it as uncharacterized. The transcript is spliced from 3 exons. The record is from RefSeq and is a predicted model, not a curated record. NCBI's taxonomy places the organism in Eukaryota, Metazoa, Chordata, Aves, Passeriformes, Corvidae.